Paramormyrops kingsleyae is the source of this 566-nucleotide long non-coding RNA. RefSeq lists it as uncharacterized. The record is from RefSeq and is a predicted model, not a curated record. Lineage: Eukaryota; Metazoa; Chordata; Actinopteri; Osteoglossiformes; Mormyridae.
ACAGGUAACAAAUUAAACGGAAACUGUAUACAUUCAAAAUGUACUGAAAAGCGAACGGGUCGGGGACACGGAUAAGCCGAAAGGAGAAUAACCUUACCGAAGGUCUGCGGUGCUUUUGAGCGCUUCCCCGGGCGAUCUGAUGAGCUCCAUUGAGUCCGAUGUGAAGCCGGGAGUCGGGACUCGGAUGCUAGCGGUGACUGACCUUAUUCCUCCCUCCUGCCUCCUGAGGGUGGGACUCCGGGCCGGACCCGCAGCACUACCCGCUGCUGCCCUGCUUAAAACCUGACAUACACGGACUACUCUGGACAAGCAACUAAAACACCGCAAGGCCAUGUUUGUUUACCAACUAACGCGUGUAUCACGUGAUAAGCGCCGUGAAGAGUUGACCCGAGAGCGAUCGGGGCUUUUAUCACCGCGACAGUGCCGCCUACCGAAUCGGAGGAACGUGAGCAAUACGGUGUUUUUUUACAUUUGUCCCUUAAACAAAAUAUUACUAUGUAUAUACGUUAUGUUACAGCAUGUAUACAGGAGGUGAGUAAAUGCUAAUAAAAACGUCUCUCAAUUGA